This 511-nucleotide ribosomal RNA is filed under the name Klebsiella pneumoniae. RNAcentral's name for it is "bacterial SSU rRNA". The record is from RNAcentral. Lineage: Bacteria; Pseudomonadati; Pseudomonadota; Gammaproteobacteria; Enterobacterales; Enterobacteriaceae.
GUCGAGCGGUAGCACAAGAGAGCUUGCUCUCGGGGUGACGAGCGGCGGACGGGUGAGUAAUGUCUGGGAAACUGCCUGAUGGAGGGGGAUAACUACUGGAAACGGUAGCUAAUACCGCAUAAYGUCGCAAGACCAAAGUGGGGGACCUUCGGGCCUCAUGCCAUCAGAUGUGCCCAGAUGGGAUUAGCUAGUAGGUGGGGUAACGGCUCACCUAGGCGACGAUCCCUAGCUGGUCUGAGAGGAUGACCAGCCACACUGGAACUGAGACACGGUCCAGACUCCUACGGGAGGCAGCAGUGGGGAAUAUUGCACAAUGGGCGCAAGCCUGAUGCAGCCAUGCCGCGUGUGUGAAGAAGGCCUUCGGGUUGUAAAGCACUUUCAGCGGGGAGGAAGGCGGUGAGGUUAAUAACCUYAUCGAUUGACGUUACCCGCAGAAGAAGCACCGGCUAACUCCGUGCCAGCAGCCGCGGUAAUACGGAGGGUGCAAGCGUUAAUCGGAAUUACUGGGCGU